UUGUUCUCUGCCAUUUUUCAAUCGCGCCGUUUCCAUCUCCCCUCUUUUGUUUCCGACCCAUUUCCGAUCGGCCACAACGACGACGAAGGCGCCUCGACGGUAAGUACUCUCUUCCUUUCUUUUACGUUUAGUUUUUGUUUUAAGAAACAAAAGAAAAAAAACAAAAUAAAAUAAAAACAGUAAAAAGAACAGAGAAAAAAAAAAUCCGUCACCUUCAAAAUCCUUGCUUUUCUGUUUUUCUUUUUUAUUUUCUUUAAUUUUUUUCAAUACAAAAUUUGUCUCCCCCCCCCCAAAUCAGUUUACAAUCAGCCCUUUUAUACCAAAAACUAAUAAUAAUUAAAUAAACAAAUAAAAAUCCUAUCACUUGCUCGUUGUGCUGUGGUUCGUGGUUUGUUUGUAGGAAGAACGUGAAAACGGCGUGGGGGUUGCUGUGACAUGGGGCGUGCGCGGCGCUGGAAUUUGCUGCGACGUGGAGAACGUGCGCGGCGCAGGGGAAGACUUAGGGUUUCUGGAAACAGUUUAGCAUUAGGUUAAUUGGGUUAGGCUACAUUUGGGCUUGAGUUAAUGAAAUUGGGCCAUGUUGGGCCGAAUGUAUAUAGUUUAUUGGGCUGUGCAAAUGGUUUUGGGCCCAGGGCAAUAAUUGGGUAUUACAGGUCAAUAAUAAAUUUAUAAAUGAACACGUUUUAUUAAACUUGGACGUUUUAUUGAAGGAUCAUUAGUUUCAAAACCCUUCUUCGUGACACUACUGGAUUCGGCCAUAACGUUUAGGCCGAGUUUGGGGUGUUACAUUUUAAAAAUCUAAAGAUAUUGUGAUAUAACCUUAGAAAUUUUGGUAAAUUCUUAAAAAUAUUGGUAUGCCAAAAUGUUUUAGUUGAUUAAGUUUGGGCAUUAAUGAAAUCUUUAGAAAUUUGAUAAACCCAUAGAAAUUUUGGUAUAACCUUAGAAGUUUUGGCAAGACUUUAGCAAUUUUGGUAAAUCUAAGAUAUUUCGAUAUAACUUUAAACACAAAAUAUUGAGUUCAUCGAGUCUGAGAUACUAAGAAGAUUUUUAAAAUUUUUGAUAUAACCUUAAAAAUUUUAGUAACACCUUUGGAGAUUUGAUACAACAUUAAAAAUUUUGGUAAAACUUUAUACAUUUUGAUAUAACUUCAUGAAUAUUGAUAAAUCUUUUGGUAUGCCCAAAUAUGAGUUAUUCAAGUCUAUCUGUAAAGAUUUUAGUAAACUGUUGGGUCUAAAAUAGCUCACAUAUAUUUAAAAUUUUACAAGUUGCUUUAAUACAUUUAAUUAAACUUCAUAUUUAAUAAUUAUUAUCUUGUCGGUUAAGUUUUAACUUGAUUAGCAUAGUUAUUAUUGUCAAUACAGGAGGACGUGAGUUCAAAUACGCUGAAGUACAACAUCCUCUUAUUUAUGGAUUAGGG
RNAcentral lists this long non-coding RNA (1417 nucleotides) under Gossypium barbadense (sea-island cotton). Its description in RNAcentral is "long non-coding RNA (GBAR_LNC021524)". The record is from RNAcentral. Lineage: Eukaryota; Viridiplantae; Streptophyta; Magnoliopsida; Malvales; Malvaceae.